CCAGCAGCCGCGGUAAUUCCAGCUCCAAUAGCGUAUAUUAAAGUUGUUGCAGUUAAAAAGCUCGUAGUUGGAUUUGUGUUCCCCCGCGGGCCCUCAGUUAAUUGCAGGGCCCACCGGGGGUGCAUCUUUGGGUGGAAUCCGCGUGGCAUUAGGUUGUCGUGCGGGGGAUGCCCAUCGUUUACUGUGAAAAAAUUAGAGUGUUCAAAGCAGGCUUAUGCCGUUGAAUAUAUUAGCAUGGAAUAAUAGGAUAGGACCUUGGUACUAUUUUGUUGGUUUGCGCACCGAGGUAAUGAUUAACAGGGACAGUUGGGGGUAUUCGUAUUCCAUUGUCAGAGGUGAAAUUC
Molecule: ribosomal RNA, 344 nt
Filed under: uncultured eukaryote
Lineage: Eukaryota
Description: partial small subunit ribosomal RNA
Rfam family: Eukaryotic small subunit ribosomal RNA
Source: RNAcentral